This 242-nucleotide long non-coding RNA is filed under the name Manihot esculenta (cassava). RNAcentral describes it as "long non-coding RNA (MESC_LNC000636)". Lineage: Eukaryota; Viridiplantae; Streptophyta; Magnoliopsida; Malpighiales; Euphorbiaceae. The record is from RNAcentral.
UCCAUCUCCAUAGCCAGCUAACUGCAUUUUCUUCUCUUUUCUCAUCAUUAUCAAAAUUAAUAAAUUGGAGGGUAGAUGAUAAAGGGAUUGAGAAAAUAAAGAUUUAUAAGAAGAGCAAAAGGGCAAUGCUUUGUGUAAUUGCCCUAUCGCUUGAGCUAAUCUCAGUAAUAAAAUAAUUAAUAAUUUUAGUGAUUAAAUUAAAAAAUGGAUUCUAUGGGAGACGCUCCCAUUCUGAAGACAUG